UUAUGUUGAUAAUUAGUUAUUAGUCAAGGGAUUAUAAAGUGUGAUUAGCUCCAAUUAAUAAAGGAAAAUUUGAGAAGUUAUUCAAGUGUCAAGAGAAUUUAAAUUAAGUUCUAUCAUUAGAUAUUAAGGUUUCUUGAUUAGAUAGAGGAUAAAUUGGUUAUUAAUAUCGUAUUUCAGGUGGUGACGAGGAAAUUGAAAAUGUUUAUCAGGCAAUCUAGCUUGUAGCUCCUACCUUGAGACCGUUGAUUUUUGAGAUACUUGGAAAAGUCUGCUGAAGCGAAAGAGACCGUUUCAUAGUAAGUCAUGCGUGGUCGAGGCAGAACUCGCAGGCACCAAAAUCCAGUAUCUCAAGCUCAUAAUACUCCUGAAGAAAGACAUGUUGGAGGGGUCAGUGGGGUUGCUGAAUCAGUGCACCAUUCUCAGGUGCAACCU
Long non-coding RNA from Olea europaea var. sylvestris, 432 nucleotides. RefSeq lists it as uncharacterized. The record is from RefSeq and is a predicted model, not a curated record. The transcript has 3 exons. Lineage: Eukaryota; Viridiplantae; Streptophyta; Magnoliopsida; Lamiales; Oleaceae.